RNAcentral lists this ribosomal RNA (492 nucleotides) under uncultured bacterium. Its description in RNAcentral is "partial 16S ribosomal RNA". It matches the Rfam family "Bacterial small subunit ribosomal RNA", at positions 29 to 507 of the family's 1533-position model. The record is from RNAcentral.
AGUGAACGCUGGCGGUAGGCCUAACACAUGCAAGUCGAACGGCAGCACAGUAAGAGCUUGCUCUUACGGGUGGCGAGUGGCGGACGGGUGAGGAAUACAUCGGAAUCUACUUUUUCGUGGGGGAUAACGUAGGGAAACUUACGCUAAUACCGCAUACGACCUACGGGUGAAAGCAGGGGAUCUUCGGACCUUGCGCGAUUGAAUGAGCCGAUGUCGGAUUAGCUAGUUGGCGGGGUAAAGGCCCACCAAGGCGACGAUCCGUAGCUGGUCUGAGAGGAUGGUCGGCCACACUGGAACUGAGACACGGUCCAGACUCCUACGGGAGGCAGCAGUGGGGAAUAUUGGACAAUGGGCGCAAGCCUGAUCCAACCAUACCGCGUGGGUGAAAAAGGCCUUCGGGUUGUAAAGCCCUUUUGUUGGGAAAGAAAAGCAGCAGGUUAAUACCCCGCUGUUCUGACGGUAACCAAAGAAUAAGCACCGGCUAACUUCGUG